RNAcentral lists this ribosomal RNA (621 nucleotides) under uncultured bacterium. RNAcentral's name for it is "bacterial SSU rRNA". The stretch from base 1 to 531 matches the Rfam family "Bacterial small subunit ribosomal RNA", at positions 338 to 873 of the family's 1533-position model. The record is from RNAcentral.
CCUACGGGAGGCAGCGGUGGGGAAUAUUGCGCAAUGGCCGAAAGGCUGACACAGCGACGCCGCGUGGGGGAUGAAGCAUUUCGGUGUGUAAACCCCUGUUGCUCGGGACGAACAACUGGAUUUGUCCAGUCUGACGGUACCGGGUGAGGAAGCACCGGCUAACUCCGUGCCAGCAGCCGCGGUAAUACGGAGGGUGCGAGCGUUGUCCGGAAUCACUGGGCGUAAAGGGCGCGUAGGCGGUCUGCUAAGCGUGUGGUGAAAGCUCGGGGCUCAACCCCGAGUCUGCCAUGCGAACUGGUGGACUAGAGCACUGUAGAGGCAGGUGGAAUUCCGGGUGUAGCGGUGGAAUGCGUAGAGAUCCGGAAGAACACCGGUGGCGAAGGCGGCCUGCUGGGCAGUAGCUGACGCUGAGGCGCGACAGCGUGGGGAGCAAACAGGAUUAGAUACCCUGGUAGUCCACGCCGUAAACGAUGGGGACUAGGUGCUUGGGGGAGCGACCCCUCGAGUGCGGCGCACGCAUACGUCCCCGCCGUCGGGAGGUACGGCCGCGACGGCGUGAACGUUAAACGGUAAGUUAGACGGCGUGAGACGUCGCCGACGGACGACGACGAGGGAGUUAGG